AUAUGUAGAUUUUUUUAAAUUGGACGUAUUGCUAUUUUUAUCCUAGUCGAAAUUAUGAAACGAAACGUUUUGACAGUCCGUUUGCCAAUAAGCAGUGAUCAGUUUCUUUUGUUUGUUUUUCUAUUGUUUACCUACUAUAUUAGAUGAUGACUUACCUCCAAAACGUUUUAAAACUUUCGUUUAUAAUUCUAAGUGUGUUUAUAAUUAAAGAGCUACAGUGAAAUAAAAUGAAUUCUUCAAGAAAGGCAGCACCCAUGACAAAAGAUGAGACGAUGAUUCUAGCAGAACUUGUGGCGGCGAAAAAACAUUUCAAUAAUAAGGCAACAAAUGCCACAAACAAUAAAUUGAAGGAGCAGGCUUGGCAAACCCUUGUAAAUGAUUUUAAUUCGUCGAUUCGUCGUUUCCCACGAACUCCAUCGCAGCUUCGACUAAAAUGGGAAAACUUAAAGAACGCUACGGCAACAUAAGAAACAACCUUAGUAAGGCUGGAGGUGGUAAGGAUUGCAGAUGAAAUUUUGGAUAAAGCAUGCACAUUGUUGUAGGUCACAUAUAAUAUUUUUAACACUUUUACAGCCAAGCUUACUUUUACAACAGGAAACAAGAUGGGAGAAAAGAAAUGCAAGGCUAGCAUAGGGACAAUGCAUUAGCAGAAUAUCUAAUAGCAAAAAAGAGACUUGACUUGGAAAAUAAAGAAAAGGAGAUUGUUGUAGCAAAAGUUAAGUUAGAUUUAGAUAAUUUAAAAAAUUAAAAAUUACUUAAAAGGAAUAUUAAAUUUCAUAAAUUAAGUAGGCAAUAAUAAUUUUAUGUUAGAUAGUUUUUUAAGUAUAUGUACAAAUUCUAAAUUAAAAUCUUGCAUGUACUAACUACCAUGUAAUUAUCAUUUUGGAAAAUAAAAAAUAGUCAAAUUAUCUUUGGAGUUUAUUUUAUAAAUUAUCUUUGGAAGCAAUUAUUUAUAAGUACAUAGUUGUAUUUCAGAUGUAAGUUUUGAAAAAUUGUUACGAACAAUUAUAUUAUUUUCCUGUAAUGUAUCUGCGACUGAAAUUUCUGAUUCUAAUUCUUCUAAAUUCAUACUUCUGACGAUAUUAUGCAGCAUGGCAGCUAUAAUAACAGCUUGCAUAUUUUCUAGUUUUAAUCUACUUUUCAAUGAUAUACAGG
This is a long non-coding RNA of Bombyx mori (domestic silkworm), 1155 nucleotides long. RefSeq lists it as uncharacterized. Lineage: Eukaryota; Metazoa; Arthropoda; Insecta; Lepidoptera; Bombycidae. The record is from RefSeq and is a predicted model, not a curated record. The transcript has 3 exons.